AGGUGGCAAGCUAUUGGAUGCUGA
RNAcentral lists this non-coding RNA (24 nucleotides) under Arabidopsis thaliana (thale cress). Lineage: Eukaryota; Viridiplantae; Streptophyta; Magnoliopsida; Brassicales; Brassicaceae. The record is from RNAcentral.